GGAUUGAGCUGAGAUAUUUAAAGUAAUUACUUUGAGGUAGUACCACUUCAUCCAAACUAACUCCUUCCCUAUUACCAGUUCGGCCUUCACUGAACUUACAAUGCAUGUCUUCUGUCUUCGUUCUACUUAAUUUAAAGCCCUUUGACUCUAGAGUACUUCUUCAAAGCUCUAAUUUUCUAUUAACUCAUUUUUGCAUCUCAUCUAUCAGAACUAUAUCAUUCGCAAACAUCAUGCACCAACAAAUACUCUCUUGUAUAUGUUUCGUUAAUUCAUCUAAAACUGAUGUAAAAAGGUAAGAGCUUACAG
Molecule: unclassified non-coding RNA, 306 nt
Filed under: Hevea brasiliensis (rubber tree)
Lineage: Eukaryota; Viridiplantae; Streptophyta; Magnoliopsida; Malpighiales; Euphorbiaceae
Source: RNAcentral